Candidatus Ryanbacteria bacterium is the source of this 74-nucleotide non-coding RNA. The record is from Rfam. NCBI's taxonomy places the organism in Bacteria, Candidatus Ryaniibacteriota.
GCGGGCGUAGCUCAGCUGGUUAGAGCGUUCCCCUGUCACGGGAAAGGUCGCCGGUUCAAAUCCGGUCGCUCGCG